UACGUAGGGGUCUAGCGUUGUCCGGAAUUAUUGGGCGUAAAGAGCUCGUAGGCGGUUCGGCAAGUCGGAUGUGAAAUCUCCACGCUUAACGUGGAGGGGCCAUUCGAAACUGCCGUGACUCGAGUCCGGUAGGGGAGUGCGGAAUUCCCGGUGUAGCGGUGAAAUGCGUAGAGAUCGGGAGGAACAUCUGUGGCGAAAGCGGCUUCCUGGACCAGCACCGACGUUCAGGCACGAAAGCGUGGGGAGCAAACAGG
Molecule: ribosomal RNA, 254 nt
Filed under: uncultured bacterium
Lineage: Bacteria
Description: partial 16S ribosomal RNA
Rfam family: Bacterial small subunit ribosomal RNA
Source: RNAcentral